This 577-nucleotide ribosomal RNA is filed under the name uncultured Bacillus sp. Its description in RNAcentral is "bacterial SSU rRNA". It matches the Rfam family "Bacterial small subunit ribosomal RNA", at positions 352 to 918 of the family's 1533-position model. Lineage: Bacteria; Bacillati; Bacillota; Bacilli; Caryophanales; Bacillaceae. The record is from RNAcentral.
UAGUAGGGAAUCUUCCGCAAUGGACGAAAGUCUGACGGAGCAACGCCGCGUGAGUGAUGAAGGCUUUCAGGUCGUAAAACUCUGUUGUUAGGGAGGAACAAGUACGAGAGUAACUGCUCGUACCUUGACGGUACCUAACCAGAAAGCCACGGCUAAUUACGUGCCAGCAGCCGCGGUAAUACGUAGGUGGCAAGCGUUAUCCGGAAUUAUUGGGCGUAAAGCGCGCGCAGGCGGUUUAUUAAGUCUGAUGUGAAAGCCCACGGCUCAACCGUGGAGGGUCAUUGGAAACUGGGGAACUUGAGUGCAGAAGAGAAAAGCGGAAUUCCACGUGUAGCGGUGAAAUGCGUAGAGAUGUGGAGGAACACCAGUGGCGAAGGCGGCUUUUUGGUCUGUAACUGACGCUGAGGCGCGAAAGCGUGGGGAGCAAACAGGAUUAGAUACCCUGGUAGUCCACGCCGUAAACGAUGAGUGCUAAGUGUUAGAGGGUUUCCGCCCUUUAGUGCUGCAGCUAACGCAUUAAGCACUCCGCCUGGGGAGUACGGUCGCAAGACUGAAACUCAAAUGCACAUUCACGGGG